Molecule: ribosomal RNA, 164 nt
Filed under: Cicca sambiranensis
Lineage: Eukaryota; Viridiplantae; Streptophyta; Magnoliopsida; Malpighiales; Phyllanthaceae
Also listed under: 1 other name
Description: Phyllanthus sambiranensis 5.8S ribosomal RNA
Rfam family: 5.8S ribosomal RNA
About the family: 5.8S ribosomal RNA (5.8S rRNA) is a component of the large subunit of the eukaryotic ribosome. It is transcribed by RNA polymerase I as part of the 45S precursor that also contains 18S and 28S rRNA.
Source: RNAcentral
AGAACGACUCUCGGCAACGGAUAUCUCGGCUCUCGCAUCGAUGAAGAACGUAGCGAAAUGCGAUACUUGGUGUGAAUUGCAGAAUCCCGUGAACCAUCGAGUCUUUGAACGCAAGUUGCGCCCAAAGCCUUCGGGCCGAGGGCACGUCUGCCUGGGUGUCACGC